ACGCUGUAAACGAUGUCGACUUGGAGGUUGUGCCCUNGAGGCGUGGCUUCCGGAGCUAACGCGUUAAGUCGACCGCCUGGGGAGUACGGCCGCAAGGUUAAAACUCAAAUGAAUUGACGGGGGCCCGCACAAGCGGUGGAGCAUGUGGUUUAAUUCGAUGCAACGCGAAGAACCUUACCUACUCUUGACAUCCACGGAACUUGCCAGAGAUGGCUUGGUGCCUUCGGGAACCGUGAGACAGGUGCUGCAUGGCUGUCGUCAGCUCGUGUUGUGAAAUGUUGGGUUAAGUCCCGCAACGAGCGCAACCCUUAUCCUUUGUUGCCAGCACUUCGGGUGGGAACUCAAAGGAGACUGCCGGUGAUAAACCGGAGGAAGGUGGGGAUGACGUCAAGUCAUCAUGGCCCUUACGAGUAGGGCUACACACGUGCUACAAUGGCGUAUACAAAGAGAAGCAAACUCGCGAGAGCCAGCGGACCUCAUAAAGUACGUCGUAGUCCGGAUUGGAGUCUGCAACUCGACUCCAUGAAGUCGGAAUCGCUAGUAAUCGUAGAUCAGAAUGCUACGGUGAAUACGUUCCCGGGCCUUGUACACACCGCCCGUCACACCAUGGGAGUGGGUUGCAAAAGAAGUAGGUAGCUUAACCUUCGGGAGGGCGCUUACCACUUUGUGAUUCAUGACUGGGGUG
This 685-nucleotide ribosomal RNA is filed under the name uncultured prokaryote. Its description in RNAcentral is "bacterial SSU rRNA". It matches the Rfam family "Bacterial small subunit ribosomal RNA", at positions 797 to 1482 of the family's 1533-position model. The record is from RNAcentral.